AUCUCAGAAUGAAGGCAUGGCUGGGGUCUGGCUGUCUCCUGGUGGCCGGAAGGAGACAGACGGCAAAGGAGAAGCUGCCUGUCUCUGCACAGGUCCAUGUCCCUGAGGAAAGCCAACGUCACAGAGAAAUGAUGACCACUUUCUCAAACCUGGCUUCGGAUUUGCACGUUGGCUGCCAAAGCUGAUCAGCAGCGGGCUUUGUGAAGAUGCCUGGUCUACCACGUGCCUCCAGCUGGUCACGCCCAAGACUCCCUGAGCCCUCUGGAAGGGCAGCACUUGCCCAGUGCCUCCCUCCAGGUCCUGCCACAUCCAAGAACCACCUGGACUAUUAUUUACUUAGUAUUUUAAACCAAUGUACUUUUUAAACUCCAAUUUUUUAAUAAGAUCAUUUAUGUCACCAUAUAACACCCAAAGCAGUAGAAUUUGUCAUACACAGAAGGCAAUGCUAAAAAUACAAUGAAAAUGGAACCAGGAAGUCUAGCUUGAUACCCUUGGCCUGUAUAACUGAGCCUUGUGCCAGUUAAAAGGGCAAAGCAGUAGGUGCUCAGGGGGUGUCGGGGCCCUGAGAGCUGAUCUGAUCCGCUGCUGCGUAUUCACUACCGCCCUGGGACGCCUCCAGCAGACCACCUCACUGGGGGAAACAUCAGGACAGCGUGGCCAGGAGCCCAAUGCUGCCACCUCAUAGAUGGGUAUCUGAGAUGAGUCAUCGAACUUCUGCAAGCCUCAGUUUCCUCCCUGGUCUAAUGGAACCCUCCUUGGCGGCUUCACAGGGUGAUGCUUGGGGCAGGUGAUGGAGAUGUGGGAGAGGCAGUUAUUUUUAACCACCCAGCCAAGCCCCUUGCCAGGAGGGACUCCCAGAAAUGAAGCCUUACCCUUGAGGGAGUUCCCCGCCACUCCAAGCUUGGGGCCUGGGAUGGCAGCUGUGAGGGCACCAGCACCAUCUGGGGACUCGCUGGGUACCAAUUAUCACCGCCCUUGGGCUACUUCAAAGGCUGCCCACACAGACACACCCUCCUUGGUAACCAGUCCUCAGGAGGAAGGGCACCCAAGGAAAGGGGGAAGGCUUCCUGGGCUAGAGCCCCUUCAGGGUCUGACACGCCAUUGACACUGACCACGUCAUUCAUUAAGCAAGCACCAACUAUACAUCAUUCACUAUCCCAAUCUAAUUUGCACAAGCCCUUAGGCAGGUGCUACUAUUAUCCCUGUUUUACAGAGAAGGAAACCGAGGCUUAGGAGAUGAAGUCUGAGGUGUUGGUGGAGCUGGGAUUUAAACCAAAAUAUGUCCAACUGCAAAGCAUGUAAGUAACAAUUUUAGAGGGUAUACGGAGGUGACCCUAAGUAACAAGGAAUCACAUAUAGUGAGCAAGCAAUUUGCUUUUCAGUUUUUGGUCAAUCCUUAUGAUUAUUUAGAGGAGAAAGUUCAGUUUGGUGCUGGUAUAUCUUAUGUUUAUCACCCGACAGUUGUUAAUCUCUUUUUAACAAAGAAUACAGGCCAAGGCCCUGUGACUUUAGCUGGCUUUGGUAUUUGGCCAAAAGUUAAUGACUUUGGCAGUUAGUGUUUUUAUCCAUGCCAAGCGAUGAUGAUUUUCUCUUUAGUGACAGACAUUUUUUAAAAAAUAAAUUCACAUAAAAAAGUAGUUUUACAGAUGAAGCACUAAAACUAGUGCAUUUCAUCUUAAACUGCAAAUUAUAAAGGGAAUAAUAGUAACUUGACAGUGGAGAGACCUGGCAGACACCACCUUCACCAACUGAUCAAAGUUAACAUCGCCAGAAAGGGGACAGAUGGCAUGUGCCUCUCGAUAAGAUGCACUGAAGACACACACUCACUUCUGCAAUAUUCCUGCCAAGAAUGCCUCAUCUGAAUCUAAUCUCGAGUAUAACCAUCAGACAAACCCAAAUUGAGAGACAGUUUACAAAACACCAGCCUUGUACUCUGCUUAAUAUGUCAAUGUCACAAGAGAGAAAGACAGACUGAAGAGCUGAUCCAGACUGAAGAAGGCUCGAGAUUAAUGCAAAAGCUGAUCUGGGAUUGCAUCUUGGACCUCAACUCUCCCCUUUUUAUUGUUAAGGGACACUACUGGGACAAUUUUUUUUUUUUUUCGUUUUGAGACAGGGUCUCGCUCAGUCACCCAGGCUGGAGUGCAGUGGUGGAAUAAUAACUCACUGCAGCCUUGAACUCCCGGACUCAAGCAAUCCUCCUGCCUGAGCCUUCCGAGUAACUGGGACUAUGGGCGUGUACCACAACACCUCGCUAUUUUUUUUUUCCUACUUUUUGUAGAGACGGGGUCUCACUAUGUUGCCCAGGCUGGUUUCAAACUCAAGUGAUCCUUCCACCUCAGCCUCUAUAAAAUUUGAAUAAAGUUGUAGAUGAGAUUGGU
RNAcentral lists this long non-coding RNA (2378 nucleotides) under Homo sapiens (human). Its description in RNAcentral is "non-protein coding lnc-CLEC16A-2:5". Lineage: Eukaryota; Metazoa; Chordata; Mammalia; Primates; Hominidae. The record is from RNAcentral.